AACAGGAUUAGAUACCCCGGUAGUCCACGCCGUAAACGAUGAGUGCUAGCUGUAGGGAGCUAUAAGUUCUCUGUAGCGCAGCUAACGCAUUGAGCACUCCGCCUGGGGAGUACGACCGCAAGGUUGAAACUCAAAGGAAUUGACGGGGGCCCGCACAAGCGGUGGAGCAUGUGGUUUAAUUCGAAGCAACGCGAAGAACCUUACCAGGUCUUGACAUACUCGUGCUAUCCUUAGAGGUAAGGAGUUCCUUCGGGACACGGGAUACAGGUGGUGCAUGGUUGUCGUCAGCUCGUGUCGUGAGAUGUUGGGUUAAGUCCCGCAACGAGCGCAACCCUUAUUACUAGUUGCCAUCAUUAAGUUGGGCACUCUAGUGAGACUGCCGGUGAUAAACCGGAGGAAGGUGGGGAUGACGUCAAAUCAUCAUGCCCCUUAUGACCUGGGCUACACACGUGCUACAAUGGAUGGUACAACGAGUCGCCAACCCGCGAGGGUGCGCUAAUCUCUUAAAACCAUUCUCAGUUCGGAUUGCAGGCUGCAACUCGCCUGCAUGAAGUCGGAAUCGCUAGUAAUCGCGGAUCAGCACGCCGCGGUGAAUACGUUCCCGGGCCUUGUACACACCGCCCGUCACACCACGGAAGUUGGGAGUACCCAAAGUAGGUUGCCUAACCGCAAGGAGGGCGCUUCCUAAGGUAAGACCGAUGACUGGGGUGAAGUCGUAACAAGGUAACC
RNAcentral lists this ribosomal RNA (729 nucleotides) under uncultured bacterium. RNAcentral describes it as "bacterial SSU rRNA". It matches the Rfam family "Bacterial small subunit ribosomal RNA", at positions 771 to 1501 of the family's 1533-position model. The record is from RNAcentral.